CCUACGGGUGGCAGCAGUGGGGAAUCUUCCGCAAUGGGCGCAAGCCUGACGCAGCGACGCCGCGUGAGGGAUGAAGGUUUUCGGAUCGUAAACCUCUGUCAGCAGGGAAGAACGGUCACUGUACUAAUUAGCAGCGCCUUGACGGUACCUGCCCAGGAAGCAACGGCUAACUCCGUGCCAGCAGCCGCGGUAAUACGGAGGGUGCGAGCGUUAAUCGGAAUUACUGGGCGUAAAGCGCUCGUAGGCGGUAUGUCAAGUCAAGGGUGAAAUCCCCGCGCUCAACGGGGGAACUGCCUUUGAAACUGGCAAACUGGAGUGUGUGAGAGGAUAGUGGAAUUCCAGGUGUAGGAGUGAAAUCCGUAGAUAUCUGGAGGAACAUCAGUGGCGAAGGCGACUAUCUGGCACAUAACUGACGCUGAGGAGCGAAAGCGUGGGUAGCAAACAGGAUUAGAUACCCGUGUAGUC
RNAcentral lists this ribosomal RNA (465 nucleotides) under uncultured bacterium. RNAcentral's name for it is "partial 16S ribosomal RNA". It matches the Rfam family "Bacterial small subunit ribosomal RNA", at positions 338 to 795 of the family's 1533-position model. The record is from RNAcentral.